CAAGAGCGUAUGUAAAAGUUGUUGCAGUUAAAAAGCUCGUAGUUGAACCUUGGGUUUGGUUGGCCGGUCCGCUUUUUUGCGAGUACUGGAUUCAACCGAGCCUUUCCUUCUGGCUAACCAGUCGUUUCGGCGGCUGGCGAACCAGGAUUUUUACUUUGAGAAAAUUAGAGUGUUCAAAGCAGGCAUUAGCUUGAAUAUAUUAGCAUGGAAUAAUAGAAUAGGACGUUAUGGUUCUAUUUUGUUGGUUUCUAGGACCAUCGUAAUGAUUAAUAGGGACGGUCGGGGGCAUCAGUAUUCAGUUGUCAGAGGUGAAAUUCUUGGAUUUACUGAAGACUAACUACUGCGAAAGCAUUCGCCAAGGACGUUUUCAUUAA
This 374-nucleotide ribosomal RNA is filed under the name uncultured eukaryote. RNAcentral's name for it is "partial 18S ribosomal RNA". It matches the Rfam family "Eukaryotic small subunit ribosomal RNA", at positions 592 to 976 of the family's 1831-position model. The record is from RNAcentral.